This is a non-coding RNA of Mycobacterium sp. 1100029.7, 45 nucleotides long. The record is from Rfam. Lineage: Bacteria; Bacillati; Actinomycetota; Actinomycetes; Mycobacteriales; Mycobacteriaceae.
GUCGGGAUACUGUCCGGUGAAGAUCGUCGGGCGGCUGGGCACGCA